CAGAUUUGAACUGAACUUGUCGUUUGAACCAUGGACUUCUAAUCACACCAAACUUAUAUUGCAGGUGCUGGAUGUUGUCAGUCCCACCGACUGGAUUGAGGAUCGACGCUCUGACUGUGGUCUUGGUCCUCCUCAGGCACCUGCUGGUUCUCAGCUGGAGAACCAGGUCCAGUUAUCCAAGAAAAAAUUCAUAUCUUUUAUCAUCUGGGAAGACUGUUUUCCCAGGGAUUAGUUUGACUGGGUGUCAUUAUCUGCACUUCCACAAGAGGGAGUGCCAAACCCAUCAUUACCUGGAGGGUGGAAAGCACGUAACCCCCUGAAAUGUUCUUGGUUCGAGACGCUGCUGGAUACAGAAAUGUACUGGAACAGAAAAAUUCCAGAUCCGGGUGUCCAGCUCUGAUUGGACGGACCAUUUGGUUAUUCCUUCCCUGCAGAUUGAGAUCUAGUUUUGUGUUCAGAAUCUGUUAACUGUCAAGAUGACGUCUGAAGAUCUCGUCAGCUAACUUCUACAAAAAGUUCAUCUUAAUUUUGUAAAAAAUAGUUUGCCAGCUAAUUGCUACAUUCAUCUGUUGGUGUUAAAAUGUUUGGCUUAAGUAAGCUCGGCUUAAUUUUGCUGUUUAUGUUGACUUUGUUCUAGCUCUGUCAGUGGUUCUCAAUCCUGAUCCUCCUGGAUUCCUGCCAUGUACAUAUUGUCCAUCUGCCCACUAUCCCACUGCACGAAGCACCCUUCACACAUGAACCUCUUCUCUGGGCACUUGUAUCUUCACACUUUCAGAACUAGAGUUGAAAAAUCUUUGAGACAGCUGGGAAUGGAACCCGAAUCAUUGAAAUCUCUGAACACUGGCCCAGUCUGCUGCACCACCUACAGACACAUGCCAAAACUCUUUUUGAGAGUCUUUUGAAUUUUAACUAUUUGUUUGACUUUUAAAUAUAGGUUGAACUCUUGGGAUUUGAACCCACAACAUCAAAACUUCUAAUCACUGUUCAAACACACUACACCACCACAUUACAUUUUCUUUUUCUCAAGCCUGAGAUUUUUUUUAGUGAAUGUGUUAGACCCCAAAUGUCAAUGAGAUGCCUGAGAAUCGUAACUGUAACAUCAAAGUAAUCACUGCUUCAGUCAAUGUUAAACACACUUAUCACACACUUAUUAUUAAACUUUUGAGGUUAUACUGUUUGUACUCAUUAAAUAAAAGAUCAUUGUCAUGCCUGAGUAUUGAACCUACAAUAUCCAAGCAACUGAUCAGUGUUCCACCACAUUACACCAUCUGGAAAUGCUUUGUGUUACUCCUUUUUAUGAAACUUUUCAGGUUAUACUGUGUUUGUAUUAAUUAAAUAAAGAUCAUUGUCAUGCCUGAGUUUUGAACUUACAACAUCCAAAUGACUAAUCAUUGUUCAAACAUACUACACCACCUUGUGCUGCUCUUUUUUUAAUCAAACUUUUGAGGUUAUACUCUUUGUAUGCAUUAAAAAAGUAACUGACAUGCUCCU
Long non-coding RNA from Thalassophryne amazonica, 1491 nucleotides. RefSeq lists it as uncharacterized. The transcript has 3 exons. Lineage: Eukaryota; Metazoa; Chordata; Actinopteri; Batrachoidiformes; Batrachoididae. The record is from RefSeq and is a predicted model, not a curated record.